AUUGAACGCUGGCGGCGUGCUUAACACAUGCAAGUCGAGCGGUAACAGGCGUAGCAAUACGUGCUGACGAGCGGCGAACGGGUGCGUAAUACAUCGGAAUCUGCCUCGUAGUGGGGAAUAACCCGGCGAAAGCCGGGCUAAUGCCGCAUACGAUCCACGGAUGAAAGCGGGGGACCUUCGGCCGUCGCGCUAUGAGAUGAGCCGAUGUCGGAUUAGCUAGUGGUGAGGUAACGGCUCACCAAGGCGACGAUCCGUAGCUGGUCUGAGAGGACGGCCAGCCACACUGGGACUGAGACACGGCCCAGACUCCUACGGGAGGCAGCAGUGGGAAUAUUGGACAAUGGGGGAAACCCUGAUCCAGCGACGCCGCGUGUGUGAAGAAGGCCUGCGGGUUGUAAAGCACUUUCGGU
This 410-nucleotide ribosomal RNA is filed under the name uncultured bacterium. RNAcentral describes it as "bacterial SSU rRNA". It matches the Rfam family "Bacterial small subunit ribosomal RNA", at positions 29 to 440 of the family's 1533-position model. The record is from RNAcentral.